This 74-nucleotide transfer RNA is filed under the name Mycobacterium tuberculosis. Its description in RNAcentral is "tRNA-Arg(ccg)". It matches the Rfam family "tRNA". From Rfam's summary of the family: Transfer RNA (tRNA) molecules are approximately 80 nucleotides in length. Lineage: Bacteria; Bacillati; Actinomycetota; Actinomycetes; Mycobacteriales; Mycobacteriaceae. RNAcentral also lists the same sequence under 23 other names. The record is from RNAcentral.
GCCCCCUUAGCUCAGGGGAUAGAGCAACGGCCUCCGGAGCCGUGUGCGCAGGUUCGAAUCCUGCAGGGGGCACC